This 397-nucleotide long non-coding RNA is filed under the name Apteryx owenii (little spotted kiwi). RNAcentral's name for it is "lncRNA (ENSAOWG00000011144.1)". The record is from RNAcentral. Lineage: Eukaryota; Metazoa; Chordata; Aves; Apterygiformes; Apterygidae.
UCGCUGCAGUUUCCUGUUGAAGCUACCAGAUUUGCUGGUGCGGCUCGCUGCCCCCGGUUCGAGGGCAGUGCUGCGGCUCUGCCCCUCGGCGCGCUGCGAGCACGUAGGGAACGCUCUGCCGUUACCCGGAGAUGCUCUCCGCUACUGGUAAGAAGAGUGACCUCUUCGGGUGGCUGUAACUGAAGAUUGCUUCACGGGAGCAACUGAGGAAGGCUGUUGGCCUCCUGGCGGGCGAAGCGGAGCUCGUGGUGCGCGUUGGCCGUGCCGGGUUCGGGGAGAGCCGCGGGGUUCGCCCGCGGGAGCACCCGGCUGGUCCAGGCCCUCGGCCGCACGCGAGAACUUCACGGGGCCAAAUUCUGCAUCCUCCUCUUGCCCAGGCCCGUACGCGCGGCGUCUU